RNAcentral lists this unclassified non-coding RNA (428 nucleotides) under fungal sp. Its description in RNAcentral is "partial internal transcribed spacer region". The stretch from base 1 to 46 matches the Rfam family "Eukaryotic small subunit ribosomal RNA", at positions 1786 to 1831 of the family's 1831-position model. Lineage: Eukaryota; Fungi. The record is from RNAcentral.
AAGUCGUAACAAGGUUUCCGUAGGUGAACCUGCGGAAGGAUCAUUACCACAAACAGUACUUUACUGUAUUGUUUUAAAACUCUUUAUUGCAAAUUGUGCACGGAUUUUUAGAUGUUAUUUUAGAACCUUUAUAUGUGAUGUAAUAGCAAUGACAGUGUUGAUCUUGGCAAGUCAUUGACUUCAUCGAUCUUGUUGAAGGAAUAUUAUAUUGCAUAUGAGGAAGUAUGAAAUAACAAUAUAUCUAAAUCUCCAUCUGUGUUUUUUAUACUCGAAAACACAAUCAUAAUUCGCCAUUAAUUUCUUUUUGAUCUUGAAAAGGAAUUUUGGUGAUUUCUUUUAAUUAUUUACUUUAAUAACAGCAUUUUUAAUUAAAUGUUGUUUUAAAAUAAAACUCUGUACAACUCUUAGCAACGGAUGUCUUGGUUCCC